CCAACAGCCCUUUUUAGGGCUACCAUCAAUAAUAAUCCUAUCCAUU
Molecule: non-coding RNA, 46 nt
Organism: Caenorhabditis brenneri
Lineage: Eukaryota; Metazoa; Nematoda; Chromadorea; Rhabditida; Rhabditidae
Source: Rfam